Long non-coding RNA from Acomys russatus (golden spiny mouse), 692 nucleotides. RefSeq lists it as uncharacterized. NCBI's taxonomy places the organism in Eukaryota, Metazoa, Chordata, Mammalia, Rodentia, Muridae. The transcript is spliced from 4 exons. The record is from RefSeq and is a predicted model, not a curated record.
CCUGGAUUCUUGGAGAAAGCAUUGCAGGGGGGACGUGAAUUCUUUCCUCUUAUCAGUUUUGUGCCUCUGAAGAAGAUGCAGGCUGUGCCCUUUCUCAAGAACGAAGGGAAUUUCUGAUCACAUGCAGCUAUCAUUCAAUAGUAACAUCUUCAGAAGUGAUUCUGCACCACCCUACCCCCUCCUGGGAAGAUGAAGGAUGUCUCUGUUUUCAAGCAAAUUCCUUCAGAAGUUCCAGCCAGAAAUGGGUGCAGGACAGCUGACAGCUGGGGCUCUAGGAAACUUCUUCAUACCCUGUUAUGGAGAUGGGACUUCAGCAAGCAGUGAGGGAGAGAUUGCAGCAGCCUGGCAUGAGCUUGGGUAAAGAGAGGAGGCCGAGAGGUAAAGGAGCCCUGCACCCACCUCACUGACAAUCUGGAAAUGAGGAGACUAUGUUCCCACACUCACAUUCCUUGCUGAAAAUCCUCAAAGGCCAGUAGAUCGAUCACCUUAGCCACAUCAAGAAUGUUGCUGAAGUCAAUGUGUGGUGGUGCUGGAGUCACUGCAAGGCGAUGGCCCCCGGAAGCCACGAGGCCACAAAAGGUUACUGCAUGAAGCCGUGAGAGUGAAUCCCAAGCUUCAGGAAAGGUCUCAAGAAGUUCGAGGUGGGAGAGCAGUGAGAAAUAUGCCAAGGAGAACAUCAUAUAGAGAGCAGA